RNAcentral lists this ribosomal RNA (429 nucleotides) under uncultured bacterium. RNAcentral describes it as "bacterial SSU rRNA". It matches the Rfam family "Bacterial small subunit ribosomal RNA", at positions 355 to 775 of the family's 1533-position model. The record is from RNAcentral.
UGAGGAAUCUUGCGCAAUGGGGGAAACCCUGACGCAGCAACGCCGCGUGAGUGAGGAAGGCCUUCGGGUCGUAAAGCUCUGUCAGAUGGGAAGAAAUGGGUGGGGGCUAAUAUCGUCCAUCCUUGACGGUACCAUCAGAGGAAGCACCGGCUAACUCUGUGCCAGCAGCCGCGGUAAUACGGGGGGUGCAAGCGUUGUUCGGAAUCAUUGGGCGUAAAGCGCGCGCAGGCGGCUUGGUCAGUCAAAUGUGAAAGCCCUGGGCUUAACCCAGGAAGUGCAUUUGAUACUGCCUCGCUAGAGUACGGGAGAGGAAAGUGGAAUUCCUGGUGUAGAGGUGAAAUUCGUAGAUAUCAGGAGGAACACCGGUGGCGAAGGCGACUUUCUGGCCCGAUACUGACGCUCAGGCGCGAAAGCGUGGGGAGCAAACAG